RNA transcript from Triticum dicoccoides, 979 nucleotides. RefSeq lists it as uncharacterized. Lineage: Eukaryota; Viridiplantae; Streptophyta; Magnoliopsida; Poales; Poaceae. The transcript is spliced from 5 exons. The record is from RefSeq and is a predicted model, not a curated record.
CGCAUCCUCACUCGUCUCCCCUGCGCGCCGGAGCCCUCCCUCUCGGCUCCCCCUGCGCUGGAGCUCCCCUGCUCGGCUCCCCUGCGCGUCGCCGGAGCUGCCUCGGCCCACAUCUCCACCGCGUUGCUUCCCUCUCCUUGUUCCCUUGCUCGUUCCCCAUGGUGAACCAUGGGAAGGAGAAGGCUCGAUUUUUGUUCUCGAUCUGCUCUCCGACGGCGGCGGCCUUCCCCGAGCUUGGCGAGCUGGAGCUGUCCCUUCCCGUCGCCGAUCUGCUCUCCGCGACGCCGCCUGCCUCCCCGGACCAUCCCCUCUCGCUCAGCCGCGACUCCCUCCCUGGAGCAGCCGCUCCCGCCCAACCCAAAGCCGCCGGCCGGAGCUACGCCGCAGCACGCUCCCUCCCUCCUCUUCUUGGGGACCGGAUUGUGGCCGAGGAGGAUCUUGCCCUUGUCGCCCAGCAGCUCCCGCUCCAACGGGCUCGUCCACAAAUCCGGCAGCACCAGCCGCUCUUCCCUCUUCCGGUCUAGCCCAUCGACGACGAUGGCUCCUCCUCAUGCUCAUCGGACUCGUGCACAAGUGCUCUGCAAGUCUGCAUUGGCAGGGUAAUUACUUUUCUUACCGGUGCUCUUGAUUAUGAAGAUGGUCAACUAGACACUAAGAGAUAUGGUGAGCAAUAUGCUAGCAAAGGGGAAGAUGUUGACCUCAUGUUGCUCCCUGAGCAGAUACCUUCCUAUAGAGAUCCGGUUCACAGCAAAAAACUGGUGUUGAAUUCGCCGCCGGCUCCGAGACCUCGACCGGACGGACGGAACGCGGAUUGAAAUCGUUGCUAUGGCGCCGUAUAUUAUAUGCAGUCCCACGUUUUCCUCUUCCUUUAUUUAGCUCUGGCGGCAGCACGGGCAGACGAGCAGCAGCAGUACGGGUAGACGAGCAGCAGCAGUACGGGUAGAUGAGCAGCAGCUGUAUAGGCAAAGGAGCUCCACCG